This 156-nucleotide unclassified non-coding RNA is filed under the name uncultured Ascomycota. RNAcentral's name for it is "sequence contains ITS2". Lineage: Eukaryota; Fungi; Ascomycota. The record is from RNAcentral. RNAcentral also lists the same sequence under 1 other name.
AAACCUUCAAGCUCAGCUUGGUAUUGGGUGCUUGUCCCGCCUCUGCGCGGCGACUCACCUCAAAGUCAUUGGCAGCCCGCAUCCGCCGGCCGUGAGCGCAGCACAGUCGCACUCUAGGUAUUUGGCAGGUCGGCUCUCCAGAAGCACUUCUUUUAU